This 430-nucleotide long non-coding RNA is filed under the name Salvator merianae (Argentine black and white tegu). RNAcentral's name for it is "lncRNA (ENSSMRG00000017845.1)". Lineage: Eukaryota; Metazoa; Chordata; Lepidosauria; Squamata; Teiidae. The record is from RNAcentral.
CAAGAAAAGGGCAAGACGCGUGUCUGCGAGAGGCGCGCGUGUGGACGGGUGACGCCGGGUGCGAUGCGAUGCCAGGCGCCCGCCUCGCCAAGCCUGCGCGAAGCCGCGGGGCGCUGCCUGCUGGGGGUCCUUUCGCAUUUUGAUUGAUUUUUUUUACCCCCACACCCCCUCCAGGCAUGCAAAGUCCUGCCUUUUUGCCUUCGGUUCUGGAAACUCGCGGCGCUUCCCCUGCUCUUCGCGAUCUGCCCGCAAAAAGAGGAUUAAAAAAAUAGCCCGGGAGACCUGCUGCACCCAGAGCCCGGCGCUGAUUUCCUGCAAAGACACGUAUAACCAGACAGUUGAAAGAAAGGGGAUCGCUUGGGAGUCUAGACGGUGUCACCGCCGGCGAUCUAUACCUGAACCGGCUAUUUCAAGAUUGACUCCUCCCUAA